Molecule: ribosomal RNA, 328 nt
Filed under: uncultured eukaryote
Lineage: Eukaryota
Description: partial 18S ribosomal RNA
Rfam family: Eukaryotic small subunit ribosomal RNA
Source: RNAcentral
CCCUUAGAUGUUCUGGGCUGCACGCGCGCUACACUGAUGCAUCCAACAAGUUUUUUCCUUGUUCGAGAGGACUAGGUAAUCUUAUGAGAAUGCAUCGUGAUGGGGAUAGAUUAUUGCAAUUAUUAAUCUUCAACGAGGAAUACCUUGUAAGCGUGAGUCAUCAUCUCACGCUGAAUACGUCCCUGCCCUUUGUACACACCGCCCGUCGCUCCUACCGAUUGAGUGUUCCGGUGAGGCUUUGGGAGAAUGGCCUCAACAUGAGUUUAUCGUGUUUUGCCGUUUGAACUUAGUCAAACCUUAUCACUUAGAGGAAGGAGAAGUCGUAACA